CCGGGGAUCGAACCGGCGACUUUCUGCUUUCCAAGCCAUUGGCUCUACCACUGUCUUAAAGAUGCUUUUUUUAAAAGGAAAGGAGAAUUUUUAGAAUGGCUGGUUCAAGGAAGAAGCCUGACCACCCACCGGACAAAACGCUUCUCUGCCUUAUCUCCUUAUCCCUGCUGCCAGGGAGACCUGCCGGGAAAUUUUGGCAGCUCUGGUACCUGUCCUGUGGAUGAAUGGGGCGGCGUGAAGGGAGCAGACUGGAGAGACCCAGAGCUCACGAGCGAACAAUAGGGGCAUCAAAGGGAACGUUGCAUUAAACUCCCCAACGCCGAGAGCCUGGGAACCAUGAGAAUCAUCUCAUUUACCAAGGGAGAAGUGUAGCUGGAUGUUGGAAAAAUUACAUCUCCCGAAGCAGAUGGGCUGGAACCCAUCUCUUCGGGGCUCCACAGGGACUCGCCGUGUUUCUCCCAUUUGAUCACCUCUUCUGGUCCAACCCAAAGGCGGCCCUGGGCUCCCCCCUGGGGCGUCUUCCUGUUUUGUCUGGUACUGGCGGGCNAGCGGAAUGGUGAGGGCUGGUGCGUCUGUCGCCGGCCUGUUUUCUUUAGGAGACGCCGUGCCAAAAGAGGUGAAAUCGACAUGAAAUGCUACACUGUGGCCUUUUCUUCUUGGAUGAAACCCAGGGAGCUUUUGGUAAAGCGGUUUGGCUUCUGAAACAUCUGCUGGUGGGCUUCCAUAAGCAACUGGUUGGCCACUGGGAGAGCAGAAUCCUGCACUAGAUGGACCACAGAACCAACCCACUUGGACACCUCUUAUGCUCCUCUGACCUAUUAUAUAAACAGUAGGUGCCGAGUCGCUCUGCAACGGAAACACCAAACCGGAGGGGAAACCAUUUCCCCCCAGUCUCAGUAAAUAACAUUUCGGCGGUGGGAGUUCAUCGCCGUUCUGUUAUCUAUCAUCACAGUGGCGUGCAGUUGUGGGCCCGCUCGGAGGCGAAGUAUUGGCCGUGAACGGUGCCAACGUAAGACAGGAGGAUUUUUGCCACCCGACAGAGAAAGGAAAUCCCACAAUUCCGGGCAGCCUCUGAGUGACGGUGCCUGAGCGGCGUGCGGCGUCGGCGCGCUUUUGCGCAAAUUCAGGGCGCUAAGAGUGCGUCUGAACCUGCCCCGGGAGGCGAGAGAUGCGCCCACGCAGCGGAUCAGCUGCCGCAGAGACUCACAGGGUGCCAAGGGGGCGUUGUAUCAGCCCUGCCCAACCCCAGUGAGGAAUCUGGGGUUUUCCCCUGCGACGAAAGACGCUCCGCGCUCACGGGCGAAAGGAAACGGGACUUGGCAAACGUACGUUUAUACUUGUGAAACAUGACAGUG
RNAcentral lists this long non-coding RNA (1355 nucleotides) under Salvator merianae (Argentine black and white tegu). RNAcentral describes it as "lncRNA (ENSSMRG00000017803.1)". Lineage: Eukaryota; Metazoa; Chordata; Lepidosauria; Squamata; Teiidae. The record is from RNAcentral.